RNAcentral lists this ribosomal RNA (253 nucleotides) under uncultured bacterium. RNAcentral's name for it is "partial 16S ribosomal RNA". It matches the Rfam family "Bacterial small subunit ribosomal RNA", at positions 524 to 776 of the family's 1533-position model. The record is from RNAcentral.
UACAGAGGGGGCAAGCGUUGUUCGGAAUUACUGGGCGUAAAGGGCGCGUAGGCGGCCUUCUAAGUCGAACGUGAAAUCCCUGGGCUCAACCCAGGAACUGCGUCCGAUACUGGAAGGCUUGAAUCCGGGAGAGGGAUGCGGAAUUCCAGGUGUAGCGGUGAAAUGCGUAGAUAUCUGGAGGAACACCGGUGGCGAAGGCGGCAUCCUGGACAGCAACUGACGCUGAGACGCGAAAGCGUGGGGAGCAAACAGG